This 217-nucleotide unclassified non-coding RNA is filed under the name plant metagenome. RNAcentral describes it as "partial contains small subunit ribosomal RNA, internal transcribed spacer 1, and 5.8S ribosomal RNA". The stretch from base 169 to 217 matches the Rfam family "5.8S ribosomal RNA", at positions 1 to 49 of the family's 154-position model. The record is from RNAcentral.
UCUCCGUUGGUGAACCAGCGGAGGGAUCAUUACCGAGUGCAAACUCAUAACCCUUUGUGAACCUAUAUCUGUUGCUUCGGCGGCUCGCUCUCGGGCGAGCCCGCCGGUAAUAUCAGUAUCUCUGUUUGAACCCGACGAUACUUCUGAGUGUUCUUAGCGAACAGUUAAAACUUUUAACAACGGAUCUCUUGGCUCUAGCAUCGAUGAAGAACGCGGC